GACACCAGUGUUCUGCGGGGCUUUGAAAGCAAAAGUUCUCUGUGUUCCCAAGAUCUCCGAUAAACCCGGGCCAGCGAGUCCAAAGUUUGUUAAACCCACAAAUAAAACUUUCCGGGGUGGGAGGAACUUGUGCAACCCCCCAGCGGUGCGGGGCGAGGGCACCCCGAGGAGGGGCAUCCACCCAGGGGGAGCCCGCCCCCGGGCCAAAGCGCUCCGACAGCAUCCCCGCGUGGUCCCCAUUCCCAUCCCGACCGCUCCGGGGGGCUCCUCUCCCGCUCCUGGGACCCCCAGCACCGGCUUGGUCCCCGGGAGACCGGGCAGCUCGGCGAGACCUCCGCCAGCGGGGAGAUCUCGGGGUCCGUCUCCCGCUCCUGGGACCCUGCCCCGGUCUCGGGAGUGCCGGCAGUUCCGCGGGACCCCCGCCGCCUCCCCGGUCCCGGGGCCAUCCGUCAGCUUCCCGGUACCGGGAGUCCCAGUGCGAGACCCCGGGCAGCUCCCCGGCGCCGAGCUCCCCACUCCAGGGAUCUGCCGCAGGCUCCCAGCGCCGGAAUCCCCGGCAGUUUCCCGAGACCGCUCCGCCUCUCCGAUCCCGGGACUCUCGAGCCGUGUGCCGGGAUGUGCAGAGGCGUGAGUGGGUGCUGAUGGCUACGAACUUGUCCCUUUCUGCCGGAGAGCCCGACAAACCCCGGCCCUAUGCACGGUGGGUAAUCCAGGGCACGCAAUAAUUAAACCAGCACACCUGGAAAUAGCUCUUUCUGUAGCUCCCAGGCUUAACCAAAUGAAUGAAAUUUGCGCUGGCGUAAUUAAAGCGGUGCGGUUCGGGAUCCUGUCUGCACCGGGGAGUUACUGCAGUUUGACUCUUCCCUCUCCGGUGACAGCCACGUGGAAGGACUCCCAGCUCCAGCCCCUGCACGGCUCGGCUCCAGUGCUGACUUCUCACCAUCAGGGUGCCCAUUAACACCAGCCCAUUAACACCAGUUCAUUAACACCAGCAUUCAAACCUGUCCGGCAGCACAAAGCCUCCAGCGUCCUCCGGCAGCUGCCGCGGCUCACUCCAGCACACAGCAGCGAUGGCAAAGCACCGGGCUCUCGGCUGCAGUCCCUGCUCCCCUACAGGGACUUAUAAAUCUGCAGGAGAAAUCGGUAGGAUGAUAUACCAAGGACCCGGCUGUGACUGGCACAGGAUGAACCUCCCCACUGCAUUUUCACUUUCCAGCAAACCCCACUGCACUGGAGCAAGCACCAGGAGCAGAAACACAAGAGGAGAGUGAUGAGCCUGGAGGUGGAGAGAUGCAAAGAUCAAACCAGCAGUGAUUUCAAAAUAAAAUCCAACAGCCCAGGGAAAACAUGGUGUGUUCUUGCUGAGGCUAUCAUUUAUGCCAAUUAAAAAAAAAAAAAAAUCUGGCAUGGCACGAAGGAGAGCUGCGUGGUAUUUCCUGAAAAGGGUGUGGGGAGCAUCCUUGGAAAGCCUGCCCUGCACAAUGUGCUUGCUGUUUCCAGAAAAAUAAAGUUUCCCGUGACACACCUGUCCCUGAAAAGCAGCUAUUUAAGGCUGGAACAUGGUCAGCCCGGAGUCAGUGGCUGGGUCUGUCCUGACUGCAGAGCAGCUGGCACCUUUGCCAGGAUUUGGGGUUUGGCAUUUACCUGCAGCUUUUUAAAUGCUGCGAAAUGUCUUAGAAAAAAAUGCAGGAGAGCUGCCCAAGCACCAAGUGCUCACAACUGAAGGUCUUUCCUCCACAGCAUUUGGCUGGUGGCCAUUAACCCCCCUGCCAACCCCCAGAGCCAUGACAGAACAGGACAGGAGGGGGUUUCUUCUUUGCCACCCUUAGAUUUUGGGAGUAUUUUGACUCAGCUGGGAAUCUGGGGGGUUUAGAGCAGCACCUUUGGGGUUUGCCAGAGAGACAGCUGUGGGAGUGAUGGGUGAGAGCAGCCCUUUGGGACAGUGGAGGGGCUCUGCUGGGAAAGGACAGAAAGGCCCCCAUUGGGAAGGGACAGAUUUUGGUGGAGAAGGGAGUGUCCAAUGGGUUUGUGCCCCCGCAUCCCCCAGCAAGCCAGGACCAGGACUCACUCCCCAUCCCAGGGCAGAGCAUGCUUGGGGCUCACCAAGGGCAUUUCUGGAGAUUUCAGCAGCAUAGCAAGACUUGCCAAAGCCUAAUCUCCAGGCAAGCUUACCUUUGACAUGGAAUUUCAACAGCGGAGCGUGGAAAACAAAUAUAAACCCACAGUUUGGAUGGGUUUUCUUUCGUCUGAGCCCUGCUCAGAAGCUGCAGGCAGGCGGUAUUUGGGUGACCAGACUGGAUCCAGUGUUCUCUGGGCAGCCACGAUGCUGAAAGAGAAGCAGCUCCACCUUAGGGCAGGCGCUGGUGCUGGAGCAGGGCCGACCUCAACACCAAUCCAACCAUCAGGCAUCACCCAUUAGACAUCAUCUGUGCCAGGGACUGGCAACAUCUGCUCCAGCCUGCAGCCAGGCUUCGAGCCAGCAUCAGGAUCUCAAGGCUUGGGAUCAGUUUGGGGCUGAGAAUUUAGAGUUUCCCUUAUUCACACUGAAAAAAAUCCCCUCCAAUGUUUAUUUUCUUUCCUAAUGAGGCUGGGGGGUAAAAAAGGCUGUUUUCAGCAAAUCACCCUUUGCAACCUGCAAAAGCAUCCUGAGACCCACAGUGGAUAGAAAUCUGAGCACAGAGCAAAACUCCACAACAAUAAAAACUCAUCUUAGGUGGAAAAAUAACUUAAAAAAAAAAAAGCCAGUCAAAGACAAAGCAGGGUUCUAUAGAGGCCUGGACAUAUCUGGAUCAAUCCCAUAAAAAUCAGUUGUUGUGGAAUAUCAGCUUCCCUGCAGGAGACAGCAGGAGAGAUGCUAACCUGGUCUCGAUUUGAAAGCUGCUUAUUAGUCCUCAUCAAGCAUAAUUAUGCUUCAAAGCCAAAUGAGAUGUCCAGCUGAAUUCUGAACACACAUUAAUGUUUUUAAACAUGAAAAAAAACA
This is an RNA transcript of Prinia subflava (tawny-flanked prinia), 2980 nucleotides long. It is a transcript of the gene named basic proline-rich protein-like, with no coding region annotated. NCBI's taxonomy places the organism in Eukaryota, Metazoa, Chordata, Aves, Passeriformes, Cisticolidae. The transcript is spliced from 3 exons. The record is from RefSeq and is a predicted model, not a curated record.